UUCGAGAGAUGAUGAGGACUUAAACUAAGCUCAGAGGCAUCUGCUCUGAUGAAAGUAUGUUUUGCACGUCAGUCUGAUCUCAGA
Small nucleolar RNA from Mercurialis annua (annual mercury), 84 nucleotides. RefSeq annotates it as small nucleolar RNA Z122. Lineage: Eukaryota; Viridiplantae; Streptophyta; Magnoliopsida; Malpighiales; Euphorbiaceae. The transcript has a single exon. The record is from RefSeq and is a predicted model, not a curated record.